Molecule: transfer RNA, 75 nt
Filed under: Alphaproteobacteria bacterium
Lineage: Bacteria; Pseudomonadati; Pseudomonadota; Alphaproteobacteria
Description: tRNA-Thr
Rfam family: tRNA
About the family: Transfer RNA (tRNA) molecules are approximately 80 nucleotides in length. Their secondary structure includes four short double-helical elements and three loops (D, anti-codon, and T loops).
Source: RNAcentral
GCCGAAGUAGCUCAGCGGUAGAGCAAUCGAUUCGUAAUCGAUAGGUCCCGAGUUCGAUCCUCGGCUUCGGCACCA